RNAcentral lists this ribosomal RNA (501 nucleotides) under Tepidiphilus sp. enrichment culture clone D_8m3_OTU2. Its description in RNAcentral is "bacterial SSU rRNA". It matches the Rfam family "Bacterial small subunit ribosomal RNA", at positions 31 to 527 of the family's 1533-position model. The record is from RNAcentral. Lineage: Bacteria; Pseudomonadati; Pseudomonadota; Hydrogenophilia; Hydrogenophilales; Hydrogenophilaceae.
GAACGCUGGCGGCAUGCCUUACACAUGCAAGUCGAACGGCAGCGGGCCCUUCGGGGUGCCGGCGAGUGGCGAACGGGUGAGUAAUGCAUCGGAACGUACCCGGGAGUGGGGGAUAACCGGCCGAAAGGCUGGCUAAUACCGCAUGAACUCGGAAGAGCAAAGCGGGGGACCUUCGGGCCUCGCGCUCUCGGAGCGGCCGAUGUCCGAUUAGCUAGUUGGUGAGGUAAAGGCUCACCAAGGCGACGAUCGGUAGCGGGUCUGAGAGGACGAUCCGCCACACUGGGACUGAGACACGGCCCAGACUCCUACGGGAGGCAGCAGUGGGGAAUCUUGGACAAUGGGSGMAASCCUGAUCCAGCAAUGCCGCGUGGGUGAAGAAGGCCUUCGGGUUGUAAAGCCCUUUCGGCGGGGAAGAAAUCGGCCGGGCGAAUAGUUYGGCUGGAUGACGGUACCCGCAGAAGAAGCACCGGCUAACUACGUGCCAGCCGCCGCGGUAAUACA